UACGUAGGGCGCAAGCGUUGUCCGGAAUUAUUGGGCGUAAAGAGCUCGUAGGCGGCUUGUCACGUCGGGUGUGAAAGCCCGGGGCUUAACCCCGGGUCUGCAUUCGAUACGGGCAGGCUAGAGUGUGGUAGGGGAGAUCGGAAUUCCUGGUGUAGCGGUGAAAUGCGCAGAUAUCAGGAGGAACACCGAUGGCGAAGGCAGGUCUCUGGGCAUUAACUGACGCUGAGGAGCGAAAGCAUGGGGAGCGAACAGG
This 253-nucleotide ribosomal RNA is filed under the name uncultured bacterium. RNAcentral describes it as "partial 16S ribosomal RNA". It matches the Rfam family "Bacterial small subunit ribosomal RNA", at positions 524 to 776 of the family's 1533-position model. The record is from RNAcentral.